AACACAUGCAAGUCGAACGAGGUCCAUGCAGUGGCAACACUGCGGAAGACCUAGUGGCGAACGGGUGAGUAACACGUGAGGAACUUGCCCCGGAGACCGGGAUAACCCUCCGAAAGGAGAGCUAAUACCGGAUGUCCUCACCGAGUCGCAUGGCUUGGUGAGGAAAUGGAUUCCGCUCCGGGAGAGCCUCGCGGCCUAUCAGCUAGUUGGUGAGGUAACGGCCCACCAAGGCAUCGACGGGUAGCUGGUCUGAGAGGACGAUCAGCCACACUGGGACUGAGACACGGCCCAGACUCCUACGGGAGGCAGCAGUGGGGAAUCUUGCGCAAUGGGCGAAAGCCUGACGCAGCAACGCCGCGUGCGGGAUGAAGGCCUUCGGGUUGUAAACCCUUUUCAGUGGGGACGAACCAAGACGGUACCCACAGAAGAAGC
Molecule: ribosomal RNA, 432 nt
Filed under: grassland soil clone saf2_201
Lineage: Bacteria
Description: bacterial SSU rRNA
Rfam family: Bacterial small subunit ribosomal RNA
Source: RNAcentral